GAUGAACGCUGGCGGCGUGCUUAACACAUGCAAGUCGAACGAUGAAGCCCAGCUUGCUGGGUGGAUUAGUGGCGAACGGGUGAGUAACACGUGAGUAACCUGCCCUUAACUCUGGGAUAAGCCUGGUAAACUGGGUCUAAUACCGGAUAGGAGCGUCUACCGCAUGGUGGGUGUUGGAAAGAUUUAUCGGUUUUGGAUGGACUCGCGGCCUAUCAGCUUGUUGGUGAGGUAAUGGCUCACCAAGGCGACGACGGGUAGCCGGCCUGAGAGGGUGACCGGCCACACUGGGACUGAGACACGGCCCAGACUCCUACGGGAGGCAGCAGUGGGGAAUAUUGCGCAAUGGGCGCAAGCCUGAUGCAGCGACGCCGCGUGAGGGAUGACGGCCUUCGGGUUGUAAACCUCUUUCAGUAGGGAAGAAGCGAAAGUGACGGUACCUGCAGAAGAAGCACCGGCUAACUACGUG
RNAcentral lists this ribosomal RNA (466 nucleotides) under uncultured bacterium. RNAcentral describes it as "partial 16S ribosomal RNA". It matches the Rfam family "Bacterial small subunit ribosomal RNA", at positions 28 to 507 of the family's 1533-position model. The record is from RNAcentral.